RNAcentral lists this ribosomal RNA (468 nucleotides) under uncultured bacterium. RNAcentral's name for it is "partial 16S ribosomal RNA". It matches the Rfam family "Bacterial small subunit ribosomal RNA", at positions 28 to 507 of the family's 1533-position model. The record is from RNAcentral.
GACGAACGCUGGCGGCGUGCUUAACACAUGCGAGUCGAACGGAAAGGCCCUGCUUUUGUGGGGUGCUCGAGUGGCGAACGGGUGAGUAACACGUGAGUAACCUGCCCUUGACUUUGGGAUAACUUCAGGAAACUGGGGCUAAUACCGGAUAGGAGCUCCUGCUGCAUGGUGGGGGUUGGAAAGUUUCGGCGGUUGGGGAUGGACUCGCGGCUUAUCAGCUUGUUGGUGGGGUAGUGGCUUACCAAGGCUUUGACGGGUAGCCGGCCUAAGAGGGUGACCGGCCACAUUGGGACUGAGAUAGGGCCCAGACUCCUACGGGAGGCAGCAGUGGGGAAUAUUGCACAAUGGGCGGAAGCCUGAUGCAGCAACGCCGCGUGCGGGAUGACGGCCUUCGGGUUGUAAACCGCUUUCGCCUGUGACGAAGCGUGAGUGACGGUAAUGGGUAAAGAAGCACCGGCUAACUACGUG